RNAcentral lists this ribosomal RNA (407 nucleotides) under uncultured bacterium. Its description in RNAcentral is "bacterial SSU rRNA". It matches the Rfam family "Bacterial small subunit ribosomal RNA", at positions 509 to 916 of the family's 1533-position model. The record is from RNAcentral.
CAGCAGCCGCGGUAAUGCGUAGGGUGCAAGCGUUAAUCGGAAUUACUGGGCGUAAAGCGUGCGCAGGCGGUUGUGCAAGACCGAUGUGAAAUCCCCGGGCUUAACCUGGGAAUGGCAUUGGUGACUGUACGGCUAGAGUGUGUCAGAGGGGGGUAGAAUUCCACGUGUAGCAGUGAAAUGCGUAGAGAUGUGGAGGAAUACCGAUGGCGAAGGCAGCCCCCUGGGAUAACACUGACGCUCAUGCACGAAAGCGUGGGGAGCAAACAGGAUUAGAUACCCUGGUAGUCCACGCCCUAAACGAUGUCUACUAGUUGUCGGGUCUUCAUUGACUUGGUAACGCAGCUAACGCGUGAAGUAGACCGCCUGGGGAGUACGGUCGCAAGAUUAAAACUCAAAGGAAUUGACGG